AGAAUGGAUCAGUGAAAAGAAACUUGCGGAAGAGCUUUUGGAAUUUAGUGAAGAUCGCAAUCCUUGGGAAUCAGUGGAAGAAAAGCUUAAUGCAAUACGUGAUACGAUGAGAACGAUGGUAAAACAGAUGAGGCCUGGGAGAGAAUGAACAGCUGCUGAUUAAAAUGGUAGCAAUGGGACUCUGUUUUAAAUCAAAUUGUUAUUCUUCGAAGCUUUUUUUCUUACUCCUUGAAUGCGAAAAUCUGGAGAAUUUCCUCCACAACAGCUUGGAAAUGAAAACAAAUAGUGCAUGACCAGUAGCAAUUACAAAGAAGUAACAAAAACAACAGAAAAAGCACCAAACAACCAUUGAGCAGUGGAGUGACGCAAAGUAGAACUAAUCGGGAUUUCUCGACGCGUAAACAGACAUGUCAGCUUUUCAAAUUAAUAUAUUCGCCUGGGUUAUGUGGCUGUUCCAAUCCUCAUCGGGUUAACGAGCAUAGUUGAAAUUGGUAAAGAAGACAAGUUGAAAUUUCAUUUUUGUGACCAGAAGCAUUUCCAAUCAAAGAGUUACAUGAUGAUAUCUAGUGGUUUUG
This is a long non-coding RNA of Stylophora pistillata, 575 nucleotides long. Lineage: Eukaryota; Metazoa; Cnidaria; Anthozoa; Scleractinia; Pocilloporidae. The record is from RefSeq and is a predicted model, not a curated record.